UUCUUGCUUUAGCUCUUAUAUUUGUGUGUUUUACUUUUAAAUAGUCAAAAAGUUUUUAAAACACCCAAUUCACCCCCCUCUUGGGUGACCAUCUCUGGGCAACAACAAGCGCAAGGGGGAAUCUGGGAAAUAUUUGGAAGAAGAAAUGAUGAACCGUGAGCUGGGAGAUGAUCGCGGAUGGGAGGUUCUAAUCCGUGAGCUGCUGUGUUCUGUUUCCGUGAAGUCUGGGAAGAAGAAUCGGCAGAGGGGAAGAUGAAUCUGAUGAUGUUAGGAAUGAAUGGAUUCUGAAUGGGAUAGCUUGAUUCGAACAGGAUUGGCUGCGGAUGUUUGGGAGAUAUCUAGAAAGAAUCCGGGUGAAGAGGAGGAUCGGUGAAGCUGAGAGGAUCUCGGCUGGGAGGAAGGCUUUGUUUGGAUGCCGUGAAGCUCGGGAGGGAACGGGAAGAAGACGCGGAGAAACGGAUGGAGCUGGGACGCUGAGAUGUGAAUGGAUGUAGAUGGAGCUGAUCCGAAGUUUGGGGGAUGAACUUGGAUGAAGAUGAUACGGUUGGAACACCUGGGAGAUAAGAUCACGAUGCUUCAAUCGCGGAACGCAAGCUGGACGCGAGAGAAAGGUUGGAUUCGGCUGGGAGCAGGGGAUCUGUGGAUGGAGUUAAUCUGGAAUGAGAGGAGAUCUAUGAGUUCGGAAGAAGAUUGUGAGAGCCAAUCGUUUGGGAUGUUCAUCCGAUUGGGAACAGGGGAGAUUGGGAAUGGCUGAAGACGCGUGGAAGACAUCUUGGACAU
RNAcentral lists this long non-coding RNA (780 nucleotides) under Phoenix dactylifera (date palm). RNAcentral describes it as "long non-coding RNA (PDAC_LNC009908)". The record is from RNAcentral. Lineage: Eukaryota; Viridiplantae; Streptophyta; Magnoliopsida; Arecales; Arecaceae.